CCCGCGGCCACGCGCCGCUCACCCUGACGCAGAGCCCGCUUCGCGGUCGCGCUGCCGGCGGGCCCCAGGCAACGCUCGGCUCGAGUGCUGAUGUCACAGCGAAGAACCUGAAGCCACCUGAGCGUACUCGUGUGCGGAGCCACGGGUGAAACCACCGCCCCAGGAGAAAGGGACGGAAGGACCCGACAGGAACGGGAACAGUUCUCACAGCCAACAAGCCUUCUCUCGGGAAUCUCUUGGAUCACAAGUCCCAAGAACAAGGUAAGAUAUGUCUCUCUGAGACAAAGGAGAGGAAGCUAAUUGUGUGCCAAGAGGAAUGGAACAAGUACAU
This 331-nucleotide long non-coding RNA is filed under the name Strigops habroptila (Kakapo). Its description in RNAcentral is "lncRNA (ENSSHBG00005015753.1)". Lineage: Eukaryota; Metazoa; Chordata; Aves; Psittaciformes; Psittacidae. The record is from RNAcentral.